GCGUGGAGGCUGUGGUUCUGCUGGGCUCUGUUGGGUUAGCUUGGCUUGAUUCCAGGCUGUGUUUUGGUCCAGAUCUGCUCUAUGUAGCUCCUCAUUCUGGGACCAAUGGCCCCCCAGGUUUUAAUCUUUUCAUGGUGGAUGGCACAAGUGCAAGAGAUCAAGCUAAACCACAGAGGCACAUUUACAGUCUCUGCUGACAUCGCACCCACUACCACUACUGGCCAUAGUAAGUCACAUGGCCAUGACUGACAUCAGUGAGUCAGGAAGAACAGUCCACCUACAGUGGAGGUUACCUCUGGGGGUUACAUAUUUAUUGAAGAAGUCCAUGCUGCAAGUGGAAUGAUUUAUAUCCCUGGGAGAUCUCACUAAACGGAAGAUUGCAAAGCACAUUUUUGAAGAAAGACGAAACCGGGGAAAACAGCAAGAAAUGGAGGAAGACAGAUUGGCGAUGAUAUUGCUUCAGUGCUUGAAUCUAGGCAUGCCUGAAGUCUUAUCUAUCAAUUAGAUUCCAGCUCAGGACCGGCUUCUCCUAGAAGGCAUUGCUUCAGCUGCUCUCGCAAACAUUCUUACCCAC
Long non-coding RNA from Myotis myotis, 574 nucleotides. RefSeq lists it as uncharacterized. Lineage: Eukaryota; Metazoa; Chordata; Mammalia; Chiroptera; Vespertilionidae. The transcript is spliced from 3 exons. The record is from RefSeq and is a predicted model, not a curated record.